RNAcentral lists this long non-coding RNA (1021 nucleotides) under Fukomys damarensis (Damara mole-rat). Its description in RNAcentral is "lncRNA (ENSFDAG00000026136.1)". The record is from RNAcentral. Lineage: Eukaryota; Metazoa; Chordata; Mammalia; Rodentia; Bathyergidae.
CUCCGUGUCUGUUCUUUACAGCGGAUGCACUUGGUGGGGCCGGUGGCAGCAAGAGCUCUAGGUAGCAGUUAGGAAAGUCCCUAGGAUCAGAGGGGAAGAUGCAUGCUUAACUGUGUCGCAGCGUGCAGGCCAGGACCCUGCGUUGCUGACCUGUCAGAACAGGGGCUGUGUUCCAUAGCUUGGGAAACAAGCCCUCUACUUCCCACAGAAACUGUGCUAGGCCCUGCAGUGUGGCGCUGAGCAUGCCCCAUUUUACACAGAGCACACGGACCUCCAUGGGCCGCAGUGUGUGAGGCAGGGUGGCUGUGAUGUGACCUUCCACAUCUGAUUUAUUCACAGCAAAUCAGACUCCCUGUGAGGAUGAGGAUGCACUGAAGCCAGAGGCCCCCAGGAAACUGAUGAUCGGGGAUCAGCGACGGCCCCCCUUCCUCUGGACAUGGUGUGUCACGAUCCAGGACAAUGCCCGGAAGCUGACCCAACACCGUGAGCAGCUACGGAAAGGGAAAGAGGCUGCCUUCUCCCUUGGACAGUGUCUCCGGCGCCUCUUUACCCAGGAAGAAACUGCUCGUGCGGUUCAGCGACACAGAGAGGAACUGGUGGAGGCCUGCAAGCUGGCCGACCACCUUGUCCUGCAGCUGCACAUAGCAAACUGUGGAAGCAGGACAGAUGAGGAAGAGAAAGAGCCACUUUACCAAGUGGACGAUCAGAGCAGCGAUUUCAGCUUCCUGAUUCAGGCUCAGGCCCGAGAGCUGACCCAGUUAAGGAAGAAGUUGGAGGCAGGAAGAAAUGUCGCAUUCAUCCUCCAAAGACAUCUCAAAGACCUCAUCACGGAUAAUGACUUUGGUGAAUCCCAAGGGCAGAGCCUCCUACAGCUGGCAGAGUGGCGCAGGCUGGCUGAGCGCCUGACCCUCCAGCUCGGCUCAGAGCACCACUGCGACACGGAGGACGAGGAAGAAACAGAGUCCCUGGACUCCAGGUGACCAGCAUGGUCAGGGCUGUGAGCCAGUGACGGGAGCGGGGG